This 478-nucleotide ribosomal RNA is filed under the name uncultured bacterium. RNAcentral describes it as "partial 16S ribosomal RNA". It matches the Rfam family "Bacterial small subunit ribosomal RNA", at positions 28 to 523 of the family's 1533-position model. The record is from RNAcentral.
GACGAACGCUGGCGGCGUGCUUAACACAUGCAAGUCGAACGGUAAGGCCCUUCGGGGUACACGAGUGGCGAACGGGUGAGUAACACGUGGGUGAUCUGCCCUGCACUCUGGGAUAAGCCUGGGAAACUGGGUCUAAUACCGGAUAUGAGCUCCUGUCGCAUGGCGGGGGUUGGAAAGGUUUACUGGUGCAGGAUGGGCCCGCGGCCUAUCAGCUUGUUGGUGGGGUAAUGGCCUACCAAGGCGACGACGGGUAGCCGGCCUGGGAGGGCGACCGGCCACACUGGGACUGAGACACGGCCCAGAUUCCUACGGGAGGCAGCAGUGGGGAAUAUUGCACAAUGGGCGAAAGCCUGAUGCAGCGACGCCGCGUGAGGGAUGACGGCCUUCGGGUCGUAAACCUCUUUCAGCAGGGACGAAGCGAGAGUGACGGUACCUGCAGAAGAAGCACCGGCCAACUACGUGCCAGCCGCCGCGGUAA